This 123-nucleotide ribosomal RNA is filed under the name Triticum aestivum (bread wheat). Its description in RNAcentral is "partial small subunit ribosomal RNA". Lineage: Eukaryota; Viridiplantae; Streptophyta; Magnoliopsida; Poales; Poaceae. The record is from RNAcentral.
AUGGUGAGCACAAAUGGCGGCCCCGCACUGGGGAAGCAGGACGUCGGCGUUGGCCCAGCUACGGCGCUUCUCUGGCGCUGCCCCGGCUCUAGCCAUGCUCCAGCUCUUGAAUGGGCUAGGUAG